Molecule: non-coding RNA, 79 nt
Organism: Xylaria sp. FL0064
Lineage: Eukaryota; Fungi; Ascomycota; Sordariomycetes; Xylariales; Xylariaceae
Source: the annotation of a GenBank genome assembly
GGGUGUGUGGUGUAAUGGUAGCACACGGGAUUCUCAUUAUCCGCACCCGAAGUUGUCGGUUCGAUUCCGACCAUGCCCG